This 497-nucleotide ribosomal RNA is filed under the name uncultured bacterium. Its description in RNAcentral is "partial 16S ribosomal RNA". It matches the Rfam family "Bacterial small subunit ribosomal RNA", at positions 28 to 507 of the family's 1533-position model. The record is from RNAcentral.
GAUGAACGCUGGCGGCGUGCCUAAUACAUGCAAGUCGAGCGAACGGACGAGAAGCUUGCUUCUCUGAUGUUAGCGGCGGACGGGUGAGUAACACGUGGAUAACCUACCUAUAAGACUGGGAUAACUUCGGGAAACCGGAGCUAAUACCGGAUAAUAUUUUGAACCGCAUGGUUUAAAAGUGAAAGACGGUCUUGCUGUCACUUAUAGAUGGAUCCGCGCUGCAUUAGCUAGUUGGUAAGGUAACGGCUUACCAAGGCAACGAUGCAUAGCCGACCUGAGAGGGUGAACGGCCACACUGGAACUGAGACACGGUCCCGACUCCUACGGGAGGCAGCAGUAGGGAAUCUUCCGCAAUGGGCGAAAGCCUGACGGAGCAACGCCGCGUGAGUGAUGAAGGUCUUCGGAUCGUAAAACUCUGUUAUUAGGGAAGAACAUAUGUGUAAGUAACUGUGCACAUCUUGACGGUACCUAAUCAGAAAGCCACGGCUAACUACGUG